AAAAAAAAAGAAAGAGAGAGAGAGCUUUAAAACUCUCUCAGAGCUCUGGCCAGUGGCCGUCUUGGCUCGUCCCGGAGCAGCAUCGCCUUCGGCCAAAUGCGCUUCACGCGCCACCAUCUAAGCCACCGUGCUCGGCGGUUAGAGUUUUUACUGCUAAGGUAAUUUCUUUACCAUCUUUAUAAUGUAUUUUCACUAUAUGCUGUAUCAAAAAAUAUAUAAUGAAAAGAAGAUAAGAGUAUCACCUCUGUUCUUCCGUUAACUCUUUGAUUUCCCCUUUUAUAUAUUUUGUAUCUACAAAAAAACCGCCCUUUUACAUUGUUCUGAUUCAGGUUUUUAUAGCCACUGUUUACAACAUAGAUCUUUGGUAUGUUCCUAUUUGCUCGAUUUCUUGCCAUAUGCUGUUGGUACUGCCCCUUUUUGUUUCCUUUUGUAGGUGAGUGAAGAAAUCCCGAUAGAAGAUGCGCCGAUGAUGGCGCGAUGUGGAGCUGAAGUUACGGCGCUGAUGGAGGGCCACUUGGAACGUCAUGAGUUGAAGGGUCACAUCGCUUGGAAUGCUUGCGGCGCAAACCCUAACUAGGGUUCCCUGAAGCUGAAGACAGAUUGGGCCAAUUGGGCCGAUUAAAUCUUGGGUUUAGAGUAUCAGGGGUAGGGUGUAAAUGGGUCUGCUGGGUAGUUCUAAUUUUGGGCCUACAGGCUAUUGUAAAUGGACUAUAAAUGGACUGUUUAAUUUUAUUUUUUAAUUAAUUUAAUUCUUGCAAGCCCGAGUAAAUUUGGGCUAUUACAGUACUAUUACCAAUAGAGGGCAUAGAACUAUGUUUAAUUGAUUUUGCUCAACACAACGAAAAUUGAAGAAUGUGAUAUACAUCGAAAUCUUCUCCUUGGAAUACAUAUAUUAACUUUAAUUUAGCGUAUUUGAAUACAUCAAACUCUAAUCUUAGUUCAAUUUUCACAUUUCAUUAAGCUUGUUAUUUA
RNAcentral lists this long non-coding RNA (972 nucleotides) under Gossypium barbadense (sea-island cotton). RNAcentral describes it as "long non-coding RNA (GBAR_LNC023255)". Lineage: Eukaryota; Viridiplantae; Streptophyta; Magnoliopsida; Malvales; Malvaceae. The record is from RNAcentral.